RNAcentral lists this small RNA (57 nucleotides) under Arabidopsis thaliana (thale cress). Its description in RNAcentral is "ATSL275410". Lineage: Eukaryota; Viridiplantae; Streptophyta; Magnoliopsida; Brassicales; Brassicaceae. The record is from RNAcentral.
AGAAACCGAUGAUUUAUAUACCUAAAGUUCUGUAUGUACUCUAUAUCACUAAAAUGG